ACGAACGCUGGCGGCGUGCUUAACACAUGCAAGUCGAACGGAAAGGCCCUGCUUUUGUGGGGUGCUCGAGUGGCGAACGGGUGAGUAACACGUGAGUAACCUGCCCUUGACUUUGGGAUAAGUUCAGGAAACUGGGGCUAAUACCGGAUAGGAGCUCCUGCUGCAUGGUGGGGGUUGGAAAGUUUCGGCGGUUGGGGAUGGACUGGCGGCUUAUCUGCUUGUUGGUGGGGUAGUGGCUUACCAAGGCGUUGAGGGGUAGCCGGCCUGAGAGGGUGACCGGCCACAUUGGGACUGAGGUACGGCCCAGACUCCUACGGGAGGCAGCAGUGGGGAAUAUUGCACAAUGGGCGGAAGCCUGAUGCAGCAACGCCGCGUGCGGGAUGACGGCCUUCGGGUUGUAAACCGCUUUCGCAUGUGACGAAGCGUGAGUGACGGUAAUGGGUAAAGAAGCACCGGCUAACUACGUG
RNAcentral lists this ribosomal RNA (467 nucleotides) under uncultured bacterium. RNAcentral's name for it is "partial 16S ribosomal RNA". It matches the Rfam family "Bacterial small subunit ribosomal RNA", at positions 29 to 507 of the family's 1533-position model. The record is from RNAcentral.